UUAAGCGACUAAGCGUACACGGUGGAUGCCCUGGCAGUCAGAGGCGAUGAAGGACGUGCUAAUCUGCGAUAAGCGUCGGUAAGGUGAUAUGAACCGUUAUAACCGGCGAUUUCCGAAUGGGGAAACCCAGUGUGAUUCGUCACACUAUCAUUAACUGAAUCCAUAGGUUAAUGAGGCGAACCGGGGGAACUGAAACAUCUAAGUACCCCGAGGAAAAGAAAUCAACCGAGAUUCCCCCAGUAGCGGCGAGCGAACGGGGAGGAGCCCAGAGCCUGAAUCAGUGUGUGUGUUAGUGGAAGCGUCUGGAAAGGCGUGCGAUACAGGGUGACAGCCCCGUACACAAAAAUGCACAUAUUGUGAGCUCGAUGAGUAGGGCGGGACACGUGGUAUCCUGUCUGAAUAUGGGGGGACCAUCCUCCAAGGCUAAAUACUCCUGACUGACCGAUAGUGAACCAGUACCGUGAGGGAAAGGCGAAAAGAACCCCGGCGAGGGGAGUGAAAAAGAACCUGAAACCGUGUACGUACAAGCAGUGGGAGCCUCUUUUAUGGGGUGACUGCGUACCUUUUGUAUAAUGGGUCAGCGACUUAUAUUCUGUAGCAAGGUUAACCGAAUAGGGGAGCCGAAGGGAAACCGAGUCUUAACUGGGCGUUAAGUUGCAGGGUAUAGACCCGAAACCCGGUGAUCUAGCCAUGGGCAGGUUGAAGGUUGGGUAACACUAACUGGAGGACCGAACCGACUAAUGUUGAAAAAUUAGCGGAUGACUUGUGGCUGGGGGUGAAAGGCCAAUCAAACCGGGAGAUAGCUGGUUCUCCCCGAAAGCUAUUUAGGUAGCGCCUCGUGAAUUCAUCUCCGGGGGUAGAGCACUGUUUCGGCAAGGGGGUCAUCCCGACUUACCAACCCGAUGCAAACUGCGAAUACCGGAGAAUGUUAUCACGGGAGACACACGGCGGGUGCUAACGUCCGUCGUGAAGAGGGAAACAACCCAGACCGCCAGCUAAGGUCCCAAAGUCAUGGUUAAGUGGGAAACGAUGUGGGAAGGCCCAGACAGCCAGGAUGUUGGCUUAGAAGCAGCCAUCAUUUAAAGAAAGCGUAAUAGCUCACUGGUCGAGUCGGCCUGCGCGGAAGAUGUAACGGGGCUAAACCAUGCACCGAAGCUGCGGCAGCGACGCUUAUGCGUUGUUGGGUAGGGGAGCGUUCUGUAAGCCUGUGAAGGUGUGCUGUGAGGCAUGCUGGAGGUAUCAGAAGUGCGAAUGCUGACAUAAGUAACGAUAAAGCGGGUGAAAAGCCCGCUCGCCGGAAGACCAAGGGUUCCUGUCCAACGUUAAUCGGGGCAGGGUGAGUCGACCCCUAAGGCGAGGCCGAAAGGCGUAGUCGAUGGGAAACAGGUUAAUAUUCCUGUACUUGGUGUUACUGCGAAGGGGGGACGGAGAAGGCUAUGUUGGCCGGGCGACGGUUGUCCCGGUUUAAGCGUGUAGGCUGGUUUUCCAGGCAAAUCCGGAAAAUCAAGGCUGAGGCGUGAUGACGAGGCACUACGGUGCUGAAGCAACAAAUGCCCUGCUUCCAGGAAAAGCCUCUAAGCAUCAGGUAACAUCAAAUCGUACCCCAAACCGACACAGGUGGUCAGGUAGAGAAUACCAAGGCGCUUGAGAGAACUCGGGUGAAGGAACUAGGCAAAAUGGUGCCGUAACUUCGGGAGAAGGCACGCUGAUAUGUAGGUGAAGCGACUUGCUCGUGGAGCUGAAAUCAGUCGAAGAUACCAGCUGGCUGCAACUGUUUAUUAAAAACACAGCACUGUGCAAACACGAAAGUGGACGUAUACGGUGUGACGCCUGCCCGGUGCCGGAAGGUUAAUUGAUGGGGUCAGCGCAAGCGAAGCUCUUGAUCGAAGCCCCGGUAAACGGCGGCCGUAACUAUAACGGUCCUAAGGUAGCGAAAUUCCUUGUCGGGUAAGUUCCGACCUGCACGAAUGGCGUAAUGAUGGCCAGGCUGUCUCCACCCGAGACUCAGUGAAAUUGAACUCGCUGUGAAGAUGCAGUGUACCCGCGGCAAGACGGAAAGACCCCGUGAACCUUUACUAUAGCUUGACACUGAACAUUGAGCCUUGAUGUGUAGGAUAGGUGGGAGGCUUUGAAGUGUGGACGCCAGUCUGCAUGGAGCCGACCUUGAAAUACCACCCUUUAAUGUUUGAUGUUCUAACGUUGACCCGUAAUCCGGGUUGCGGACAGUGUCUGGUGGGUAGUUUGACUGGGGCGGUCUCCUCCUAAAGAGUAACGGAGGAGCACGAAGGUUGGCUAAUCCUGGUCGGACAUCAGGAGGUUAGUGCAAUGGCAUAAGCCAGCUUGACUGCGAGCGUGACGGCGCGAGCAGGUGCGAAAGCAGGUCAUAGUGAUCCGGUGGUUCUGAAUGGAAGGGCCAUCGCUCAACGGAUAAAAGGUACUCCGGGGAUAACAGGCUGAUACCGCCCAAGAGUUCAUAUCGACGGCGGUGUUUGGCACCUCGAUGUCGGCUCAUCACAUCCUGGGGCUGAAGUAGGUCCCAAGGGUAUGGCUGUUCGCCAUUUAAAGUGGUACGCGAGCUGGGUUUAGAACGUCGUGAGACAGUUCGGUCCCUAUCUGCCGUGGGCGCUGGAGAACUGAGGGGGGCUGCUCCUAGUACGAGAGGACCGGAGUGGACGCAUCACUGGUGUUCGGGUUGUCAUGCCAAUGGCACUGCCCGGUAGCUAAAUGCGGAAGAGAUAAGUGCUGAAAGCAUCUAAGCACGAAACUUGCCCCGAGAUGAGUUCUCCCUGACUCCUUGAGAGUCCUGAAGGAACGUUGAAGACGACGACGUUGAUAGGCCGGGUGUGUAAGCGCAGCGAUGCGUUGAGCUAACCGGUACUAAUGAACCGUGAGGCUUAACCUU
This 2902-nucleotide ribosomal RNA is filed under the name Escherichia coli. RNAcentral describes it as "23S ribosomal RNA". It matches the Rfam family "Bacterial large subunit ribosomal RNA". Lineage: Bacteria; Pseudomonadati; Pseudomonadota; Gammaproteobacteria; Enterobacterales; Enterobacteriaceae. The record is from RNAcentral.